UACGUAGGUGGCAAGCGUUGUCCGGAAUUAUUGGGCGUAAAGCGCGCGCAGGCGGUUCUUUAAGUCUGAUGUGAAAGCCCACGGCUCAACCGUGGAGGGUCAUUGGAAACUGGAGAACUUGAGUACAGAAGAGGAAAGCGGAAUUCCACGUGUAGCGGUGAAAUGCGUAGAGGUGUGGAGGAACACCAGUGGCGAAGGCGGCUUUCUGGUCUGUAACUGACGCUGAGGCGCGAAAGCGUGGGGAGCAAACAGA
This 253-nucleotide ribosomal RNA is filed under the name uncultured bacterium. RNAcentral describes it as "partial 16S ribosomal RNA". It matches the Rfam family "Bacterial small subunit ribosomal RNA", at positions 524 to 776 of the family's 1533-position model. The record is from RNAcentral.